This 2054-nucleotide ribosomal RNA is filed under the name human oral metagenome. RNAcentral describes it as "bacterial LSU rRNA". It matches the Rfam family "Bacterial large subunit ribosomal RNA", at positions 879 to 2925 of the family's 2925-position model. The record is from RNAcentral.
GCCUCAUACAAAGCUUUAGGAGGUAAAGCACUGGCUGGUCUAGGGGGUGUCAAAGCCUACCGAAACCAAUCAAACUCUGAAUACCUAAAGCCAGCGUAUGGGAGUGAGACUGUGUGCGCCAAGGUUCAUAGUCGAGAGGGAAACAGCCCGGACCGUCGGCAAAGGUCCCAAAAUAACGCUCAGUGUGAAAUGAGGUGCGCUUGCACAGACAGCCAGGAGGUUGGCUCAGAAGCAGCCAUUCCUUAAAAGAGUGCGUAACAGCUCACUGGUCGAGCAGGCGUGCGCAGACAAUGUAACGGGGCUAAGCGUUAUACCGAAGCCGCGGGUCCGCAUCUUGUGAUGCGGGCGGUAGGGGAGCAUUGCGCUAACCGGAGAAGGCGUACCUGUGAGGGGCGCUGGAGGAAGCGGAAGAGAGAAUGCAGGCACAAGUAACGAAAAGACGGGUGAGAUUCCCGUCCGCCGAAAGCCUGAGGAUUCCCGGGUAAAGGCAAUCUGCCCGGGGUAAGUCGGCCCCUAAGGCGAGGACGAAAGUCGUAGUCGAUGGGAAAUCGGUUCAAAAUCCGAUACCCGGCUCAGUUUUGAAGGCAGGACGCAUGAGGUGAAAUCCGGCAGGAGAACGGUAGUUCCUGUCCAAGCAGUGAGGUGUUGAGAGGGCGGUUAAAAGAGCUCUUGAGCUGAGCUGUUACGGGGAGCGGAGCGCAGGCGAAGCGAAGCGGACGUAAUCAAGGUGCCGGGAAAUACUGUCUAAAGUUAGGCUGAGUCGGACCGUACCGGAAACGGACACACGCAGGCAGGAUGAGUAAUCUAAGGCGCACGAGCGACCCCGCGUUAAGGAACUCGGCAAAAAGCACACGUAACUUCGGAAGAAGUGUGGCUCACGCUGAUAAGGAUGUGAGCGGCAGAAAGCAGGCCCAGGCGACUGUUUAUCAAAAACACAGCCAUCUGCGAACCAGCAAUGGGACGUAUAGGUGGUGACACCUGCCCGGUGCCGGAAGGUUAAGAGGAGAGGUUAACAGCAAUGUGAAGCUUUGAAUUGAAGCCCCGGUAAACGGCGGCCGUAACUAUAACGGUCCUAAGGUAGCGAAAUUCCUUGUCGGGUAAGUUCCGACCCGCACGAAUGGUGUAACGUAUCUGGGCACUGUCUCAACGCGAGGCUCGGUGAAAUUUAUAUACCGGUAAAGAAGCCGGUUACCCAUAGUUAGACGGAAAGACCCCGUGAACCUUCACCGUAACUUACUAUUGGGACUUGGUUUAUCAUGUGUAGAAUAGGUGGGAGGCUAUGAAGCUUGACCGUUAGGUUGGGUGGAGCCGAAAAGUGAAAUACCACCCUUGAUAAAUCAGGUUUCUAACCUGUCCCGUGAAACCGGGAUAGGGACAGUGAUAGGCAGGCGGUUUGACUGGGGCGGUCGCCUCCUAAAGAGUAACGGAGGUGCGCGAAGGUCUCCUCACGCCGGUUGGAAAUCGGCGCAACGAGUGUAAAGGCACAAGGAGGCUUAACUGCGAGAGUGACAGCUCAAGCAGAUACGAAAGUAGGUCUUAGUGAUCUGGCGGUAGCGAGUGGAAGCGCCGUCACUUAACGGAUAAAAGGUACUCCGGGGAUAACAGGCUGAUUUUCCCCAAGAGUUCACAUCGACGGGAAAGUUUGGCACCUCGAUGUCGGCUCAUCGCAUCCUGGGGCUGGAGCAGGUCCCAAGGGUUUGGCUGUUCGCCAAUUAAAGCGGUACGUGAGCUGGGUUCAGAACGUCGCGAGACAGUUCGGUCCCUAUCUGCUAUGGGCGUUGGAUAUGUGAGAGGAGCUGCUUUUAGUACGAGAGGACCGAAGUGGACGAACCUCUGGUAUACCGGUUAUCCUGCCAAGGGUAAGUGCCGGGUAGCUAAGUUCGGAAGGGAUAACCGCUGAAGGCAUCUAAGUGGGAAGCCCGCCUCAAGACUACGUAUCCCUGAGGGUUUAACCCUCCUAAAGACUCCUUGCACACUACAAGGUUGAUAGGUUGGAGGUCUAAGCACAGUAAUGUGUUCAGCCGACCAAUACUAAUAAGUCGUGAGGCUUGACC